UAAGCAUAUCAAUAAGCGGAGGAAAAGAAACUAACAAGGAUUCCCCUAGUAACUGCGAGUGAAGCGGGAAAAGCUCAAAUUUAAAAUCUGGUGGCCUCUGGUCGCCCGAGUUGUAAUUUAGAGAAGCGUCUUCCGCGCUGGACCAUGCACAAGUCUCCUGGAAUGGAGCSUCAUAGAGGGUGAGAAUCCCGUCUUUGGCAUGGAUGCACCAGGGCUUUCGUGAUGCGCUCUCAAAGAGUCGAGUUGUUUGGGAAUGCAGCUCAAAAUGGGUGGUGAACUCCAUCUAAAGCUAAAUAUAGGCGAGAGACCGAUAGCGAACAAGUACCGUGAGGGAAAGAUGAAAAGCACUUUGGAAAGAGAGUGAAACAGUACGUGAAAUUGUUGAAAGGGAAACGCUUGAAGUCAGUCGCGUCGACCGAGACUCAGCCUCGCCUUGGCUUGGUGUACUUCUCGGCCGACGGGUCAGCGUCAAUUUUGCCCCUCGGAUAAUGGCAAGGGAAAGGUAGCACCUUUAUAGGUGUGUUAUAGUCUCUUGUCGCAUGCGAGGGUCGGGAUUGAGGAACUCAGCACGCACCUCUCGGUGUCGGGGCUUCGGCCCACGCUACGUGCUUAGGAUGCUGGCGUAAUGGCUUUAAACGACCCGUCUUGAAACACGGACCAAGGAGUCUAACAUGCCCGCGAGUGUUCGGGUGGAAAACCCGUGCGCGUAAUGAAAGUAAAAGUUGGGACCUCUGUCGUGGGGGGCACCGACGCCCGGACCAGACCUUCUGUGACGGAUCUGCGGUAGAGCGUGCAUGUUGGGACCCGAAAGAUGGUGAACUAUGCCUGAAUAGGGUGAAGCCAGAGGAAACUCUGGUGGAGGCUCGUAGCGAUUCUGACGUGCAAAUCGAUCGUCAAAUUUGGGUAUAGGGGCGAAAGACUAAUCGAACCAUCUAGUAGCUGGUUCCUGC
RNAcentral lists this ribosomal RNA (950 nucleotides) under Russula albonigra. Its description in RNAcentral is "partial large subunit ribosomal RNA". Lineage: Eukaryota; Fungi; Basidiomycota; Agaricomycetes; Russulales; Russulaceae. The record is from RNAcentral.